Molecule: ribosomal RNA, 816 nt
Filed under: uncultured organism
Description: bacterial SSU rRNA
Rfam family: Bacterial small subunit ribosomal RNA
Source: RNAcentral
GGCUAGAGUUUGAUCAUGGCUCAGGAUGAACGCUAGCUACAGGCUUAACACAUGCAAGUCGAGGGGCAGCAUGAACUUAGCUUGCUAAGUUUGAUGGCGACCGGCGCACGGGUGAGUAACACGUAUCCAACCUGCCGAUGACUCGGGGAUAGCCUUUCGAAAGAAAGAUUAAUACCCGAUGGCAUAGUUCUUCCGCAUGGUGGAACUAUUAAAGAAUUUCGGUCAUCGAUGGGGAUGCGUUCCAUUAGGUUGUUGGCGGGGUAACGGCCCACCAAGCCUUCGAUGGAUAGGGGUUCUGAGAGGAGGGUCCCCCACAUUGGAACUGAGACACGGUCCAAACUCCUACGGGAGGCAGCAGUGAGGAAUAUUGGUCAAUGGACGAGAGUCUGAACCAGCCAAGUAGCGUGAAGGAUGACUGCCCUAUGGGUUGUAAACUUCUUUUAUACGGGAAUAAAGUGAGGCACGUGUGCCUUUUUGUAUGUACCGUAUGAAUAAGGAUCGGCUAACUCCGUGCCAGCAGCCGCGGUAAUACGGAGGAUCCGAGCGUUAUCCGGAUUUAUUGGGUUUAAAGGGAGCGUAGGCGGACGCUUAAGUCAGUUGUGAAAGUUUGCGGCUCAACCGUAAAAUUGCAGUUGAUACUGGGUGUCUUGAGUACAGUAGAGGCAGGCGGAAUUCGUGGUGUAGCGGUGAAAUGCUUAGAUAUCACGAAGAACUCCGAUUGCGAAGGCAGCUUGCUGGACUGUAACUGACGCUGAUGCUCGAAAGUGUGGGUAUCAAACAGGAUUAGAUACCCUGGUAGUCCACACAGUAAACGAU